AACACUAGAAUUUUACCGAGUAUUGCUCCAGAAGUAAGUUUUUUCAUUCCUGUGAGUGCUCUGAGGCAUCAUUUGGGUAUUGCUCCAGAAGUACACCCAAGCUUCCCUACUUCACUUGCAUGGGAGUUAACCCUUAAGGAGAAGGUCCGCUGUGGAUUAAAAUUGCAUCUAUGGUCAUGAAUAAUUUCUAUGUUGUAUAUAGUAGUACCAUUGUUAUUAUAUGAAAAUUUCAAGCUGAUCAGAUGAAAUGAAAAAUUAAAGAACAGUAUUUUUCCUUGUUUUUAUGAAAAAUUUGAAUUAAUUUUUCUCAGCCAUUUUUUUACCGACUUUCUUGUGACACACACAUCUGAUAAUUCAUUGUUAUUCUAACAAUUUGUCAAGAUGUUUUUUUGAAAACUUUUUGUCAAUCCAAAAAUGUUUAUUUUUAAAAUUGUUUUUGGAAAAUUUUCCCAUAUAUCGAAACUAUGCCGCUUUUCAAAAAAACAUCUAGACAAAUUUUACUACGAUAUAUGAUCUUGUAUGUCCUAAAGUUUCAUGAAAAUCGUCUUGAAAGUAAAACCAAAAAAUAAUUUUAUGUCUAUUUUGUACUAGUUUUGAGAAAAACGCGAUUAAAGGUUUGCUAAAGUUCUUCGGCCCAGUGAAGGUACUAUACUGUCAAUGCUACUUUAAUAUGAAUUUUAUGGGAUCAGUAACCACAUAUCAGUGAGUGCAUAAAAGGAUCAGGCACCUUGUCCCCCCUUAUUGCAGUUUUAAUCGCUCAAAGUUGAGGGUGUCAGGGCGCGUCACGCCCCUCAAUGAUGUAAGGUUCGAUCACUACUCUGCAGGUGCAUAGCUAUCGGUUGGAAUUCCUUUGUCUGUCUUCCUCUUCUUCUUUAUUGUCUUCAUCGGUGUAAUUCUUCUCUUUUCUCUCAUUUCUUAUCUUUUUUCUAUGUAUUCAUUUGCUCCAAACAUUUUUGUGAGCAGGUUGCACUUUUCAUAUUCAUAUUUUUUUUACGUGCCAUCCUACAGCGCUGGUAGGCUUUCUUGAGUGGCCUGGAUGGUAGUUGGCCCCAGCUCGUCAUGGCGCAGGCAGGUGUUUUAUAGUGACGCCAUCUUUUCUUGGCUCAUGCUCCCUGGAGCUCGUUCUUGAUUCACUUGGACGGUUUCCUCUAGAGUCCAGGUUGAUGGGUGGUCUUCAGGACAGCAUGUGGGUAGUUUCAAGCCACUCAGCGGUGACUGAAAAAUCCCAGGUGGUAGUGGCGGAUUCGAACCCGCGUCGUCCGUCAUGCAGUGAACGCGGGGCCUGCACUUUUAACCACUCAGCCACCGCCUACCAAAUUGUGUUCCAAAACUGUUACAUGGAUUACAAACUCCACCCAGAAGAUUGCUGCAUGUUUGAUUUUUCAACAUUUAUUCCAUACUUUGGCAUACCAGCUGAUGCACUGCACUGAGCAUGCCACGCCAGUGCAGUAGCCAUUUAAAUAUCCUUGUUAUUGGCAUUUAAAUUUAUGUCUGACUGAAAAAAAUCUACCAUUUGAAAGUCAAAGGAUAGGGUGUUGCCAUAGACCAUAUAACUCAUUUUCGUAUUUUUCGAAAAUUAUUUUCAUAUUUUCAUGGAGGACUCUUCCCUUAAAGCACGGCUCUGUCGGAGAAGGGUGGGGUGCUGGGACUCCCGUCAUCAGUUGUCCCGCCAAGAUUUGUUCCUCCCAACAUCACAUCUCCGCCGUGCUGCAGUCGAGGGACUCAUACAUAGUUUCUUUCAUCAUGUAGGUGAAAGAUUGGCGGUGUUAAGGCACCAUCAACUAUUGUGUUCUUGUCUGCAAUUGCCACACAGGGCUUUGCUGAAGAACACCUAUUUCACCAAAGUUUGGCAACACGGCACACGCUCUGCCAACAGAAAAUCUCCCUCUAGCCCGUCUUUUAGGGGCUGAGACUCACAUCAGCAGUCACUUCCAGUUAUUAGGGACACACCAUUACCAGCUGUUCUCUCCUCCCUAGCAGUAGGCUGUUGGCAGAAUAUUGUAAAAAAUUAAACAUAACAAAUCUAACCCAAACUAAUCAGUAAAACUCCAGAAUAAUACCCGGCCCACUACAAAGGACGCCUUUUUGCGGUAUUUAUGUCCUUUAUUACUGCUUGCCAUUUUUUUUUCUUUGGUUUUAUUGUUUUUUGGUUUGUUUGAGCGUUUUGAUCCAUCGUUUGUUGUGCAGACGAAUAAUAGCCAUAGUAAGACAACGUUAAUCUUGGCCCUUGACUCUACGGCCACCGUGUCGUGUGCAGGCCGCUCUGGCCUGAAUGUAGCCAGCUUAGGUCAGGUUAGGCUGGAUGUCAUUUAGUGAGGUCAGGUUACGCUGGAUUUAGUUUGGUUAGGUCAGAGUAGGUUAGAUUUAGAUUGGUUAGAUCAGAUAUCGUCAGGCUAGGUUAGAUUUAGUGUAUUUAGGUCAGGUUAAGUUAGAUUCAGUUUGGUUAGGUUUGGUUAGGUCAGGUUAGGUUAGAGUUAGUUUGGCUAGGUCAGCUCAGGUUAGAUUUAGUUUGGUUAGGUUAGGUUACACUAGAUUUAAUUUGGUUAGGUCAGGUUACACUAGACUUAGUUUGGUCAGGUCAGGUUAGGUUAGAUUUAAUUUGGUUAGGUCAGGUUACACUAGAUUUAGUUGGUUUGGUUAGGUUUAGGCUAGCCUUAGUUUGGUUAGGUCAGGUUAUGUUAGGUUAGAUUAAGUCUCGUUAGUUUUGUUACGUUUGGUGUUUUCCGGUAAAUACGUGUGAUAGGCUUCACGCUGUGCUGCUGUUGUCACUGGCAGCGGUGGCGGCGGCGGUGAGCCAGAGGGUCACGCCGCCUGCAGCUGCACGGGCUCCCACACACAAUUUCAUGGCUUUUUUCACAGUUGCUUUUUCUUUCUCUUCACUCUUUCCUGUGGUUUUCCAGGAGGUUUAAAGUUAAGUAGAAAAUAUGUAUGACAGCAGAUUAAGUAGGAUUUGAGAUAUUGGCACGUGAAUAAUGCCAAUCUUGACCCCAUUGUCACAGCCAUGUUACGGUUGUUACUCACAUGCACAACGCCUCAAAACACUCUCCUUAACUUAAAAAAAAUAUCAAAUAGAAGAAAACUCUGGAAACAGGAAACUGCAGCAAAGGAAGUGUUUUCCCUUGCUGCAUAUUAAGGCCUUUGGGCACUCAACACACAGCCGUGUUGCUUGCCGUCUGAACCACUCGUGUGUGAGGCAGUGAUUUCUCAGCAUAGUGCCCGGGAGGAUGUGUCAAGGGAUGUGCUUCCAUUUAUUGCAUUCUGGCAGCGGGGCACAAGCCAGGUCAGGUCAGGUCAAGUCAGGUUUAGUUGAGAGGAGGCGGUGGCUUGCACUCAGGAGAGUACAUUCAUGUUAAUUGAAUUCAUCUCAAUAUUUCCAUGUUACAUUAACUCCAAUGAAUGUCAGGCUCUGCAAGAUUGGGCAUAAUUGCCGGCGCAGUGUUAAAGAAAAAUGGUGCAGGGGUGGAAGCAGGUGUGGAGUGUUUUCUCACAAAGGAAGGGGAGCCAGUAGUUGGGGGGCUGCAGGUGUGGAGUGUUUUCUCACAAAGGAAAGGGAGGCAGUAGUUGGGGGGCUGCAGGUGUGGAGUGUUUUCUCACACAGGAAA
Eriocheir sinensis (Chinese mitten crab) is the source of this 3602-nucleotide long non-coding RNA. RefSeq lists it as uncharacterized. NCBI's taxonomy places the organism in Eukaryota, Metazoa, Arthropoda, Malacostraca, Decapoda, Varunidae. The record is from RefSeq and is a predicted model, not a curated record. The transcript has 3 exons.